Molecule: long non-coding RNA, 147 nt
Organism: Melanotaenia boesemani (Boeseman's rainbowfish)
Lineage: Eukaryota; Metazoa; Chordata; Actinopteri; Atheriniformes; Melanotaeniidae
Exons: 4
Source: RefSeq, a predicted model, not a curated record
UUAAUGUUUAAUAAUUUUAUCAAAAAUAUUUAUGACUUUCCUCUAAGUACCACCAAGAGGGCUCUCGCGUACCACUGGUGGUACACGUACCACAGUUUGAGAAUAUAGGCUCUACACCAUUUAAUGUGAAGAUUUACUUACUAUUUU